UUCACACCAACGUUCCAGAUGUCCCCAGAAGAGAAGGUGAAGGCUCGGCAGGAGAUUCUGGCCACCAAGGGGAAGGAGAAGAUGUUGUACCUGUCCAAGCUCCUGGUGCGUCCAUCUAUUCGAUUUGCAUAUACACCUGGGAGUGGAUUGAUGAGUAAGGGCUGGAGAUGGGGGAAUUGGCGGUUUUAGGGUUGCGUGGUCAAUACAAGUGGGCCGGGUGCAAUAUCUGCAAGCAAGGGUGGCGGGCCCUCAGUCCACCCGCCACCUGGAUCUUCGGGGGAUCGGAUCUUCUAGUUUAGUAGUAUCCGCGGUGGCUGUAUAUGCGUAUGCAUGUAACAGCUGCACCAGGGUGCUACGUGGUCGCCGUGGGAAGCAUGCAUCAUGCCUUUGCUCCUGCUGUUGUUGCUGGGUUGCGGUUGUUGCUAUGCUGCUGUUUAACUGUCGCUGCGCUACUGCUGCAGCUGCUGCUGCGCAUCUGUUGUUGUUGUUGCUGCUGCUGCUGCUUGCCUGAGUGUUGCUGAGCGGCUGCUGCAGCAGCAUAUAGUAUGUUCCUCCCGGUAUGUUUAUUUUGGUAACACCCAUGAUCCGAAAAGCGGGCGCCUUUCUUUUCCCAUCGCAUGUACCAUUGAUGAUGGUGGUUACUAUACAUGUCCACAUGCUAUACAGGAAACGUCGGGCGAGUACGUGGCGGGUGACAAGUUGUCGUAUGGUGACAUCGUGAUCUUCGCGACACUGUCCAACCUUGUCAGCGGCUUCAUGGACGGUAGGAAUCUGGAGUGAUUCACAAAACGCAUAGACACAUCCAUGGCUUAGUGUAGGACAUGGCGCUCUGGCGUCUUAUCGGUGCAAUGUCACCUUUGGAGUUGCUUACCGGCACAUUACAGCCACUACCACCUAGAUUCCAGGUCACAGCCUCCAUGCGCUUUCAUUGCUCCAGGAAUGGCCCACGGGGUGCAUUCCAGAGGCCGGCCAGGCAAACCUGCUGGGGCCAUCCCAAUGAAUUACUCGCUCGCUGGCAUGCCAAUGUGAAGGUGGGGUUGGGCGGACUGCUUCAGGUCAGCCAGUUACCACCACACUAGCCAAACCACACAAUGACCGCACCCGUUGGAAAGCUGCUCUACCGUUGUGGGGUUGGGCGGCCGGGAAACCUAUUUGCAUGCAGGUG
RNAcentral lists this long non-coding RNA (1165 nucleotides) under Volvox carteri. RNAcentral describes it as "long non-coding RNA (VCAR_LNC000005)". The record is from RNAcentral. Lineage: Eukaryota; Viridiplantae; Chlorophyta; Chlorophyceae; Chlamydomonadales; Volvocaceae.